RNAcentral lists this ribosomal RNA (822 nucleotides) under Bacillus sp. (in: firmicutes). RNAcentral's name for it is "bacterial SSU rRNA". It matches the Rfam family "Bacterial small subunit ribosomal RNA", at positions 53 to 858 of the family's 1533-position model. Lineage: Bacteria; Bacillati; Bacillota; Bacilli; Caryophanales; Bacillaceae. The record is from RNAcentral.
ACAUGCAGUCGAGCGGACAGAAGGGAGCUUGCUCCCGGAUGUUAGCGGCGGACGGGUGAGUAACACGUGGGUAACCUGCCUGUAAGACUGGGAUAACUCCGGGAAACCGGAGCUAAUACCGGAUAGUUCCUUGAACCGCAUGGUUCAAGGAUGAAAGACGGUUUCGGCUGUCACUUACAGAUGGACCCGCGGCGCAUUAGCUAGUUGGUGGGGUAAUGGCUCACCAAGGCGACGAUGCGUAGCCGACCUGAGAGGGUGAUCGGCCACACUGGGACUGAGACACGGCCCAGACUCCUACGGGAGGCAGCAGUAGGGAAUCUUCCGCAAUGGACGAAAGUCUGACGGAGCAACGCCGCGUGAGUGAUGAAGGUUUUCGGAUCGUAAAGCUCUGUUGUUAGGGAAGAACAAGUGCGAGAGUAACUGCUCGCACCUUGACGGUACCUAACCAGAAAGCCACGGCUAACUACGUGCCAGCAGCCGCGGUAAUACGUAGGUGGCAAGCGUUGUCCGGAAUUAUUGGGCGUAAAGGGCUCGCAGGCGGUUUCUUAAGUCUGAUGUGAAAGCCCCCGGCUCAACCGGGGAGGGUCAUUGGAAACUGGGAAACUUGAGUGCAGAAGAGGAGAGUGGAAUUCCACGUGUAGCGGUGAAAUGCGUAGAGAUGUGGAGGAACACCAGUGGCGAAGGCGACUCUCUGGUCUGUAACUGACGCUGAGGAGCGAAAGCGUGGGGAGCGAACAGGAUUAGAUACCCUGGUAGUCCACGCCGUAAACGAUGAGUGCUAAGUGUUAGGGGGUUUCCGCCCCUUAGUGCUGCAGCUAACGC